This 363-nucleotide ribosomal RNA is filed under the name uncultured soil bacterium. RNAcentral's name for it is "bacterial SSU rRNA". It matches the Rfam family "Bacterial small subunit ribosomal RNA", at positions 26 to 393 of the family's 1533-position model. The record is from RNAcentral.
AGAUUGGACGCUGGCGGCAUGCCUUACACAUGCAAGUCGAACGGCAGCACGGGAGCAAUCCUGGUGGCGAGUGGCGAACGGGUGAGUAAUACAUCGGAACGUGCCCAAUCGUGGGGGAUAACGCAGCGAAAGCUGUGCUAAUACCGCAUAAGAUCUACGGAUGAAAGCAGGGGAUCGCAAGACCUUGCGCGAAUGGAGCGGCCGAUGGCAGAUUAGGUAGUUGGUGAGGUAAGGCUCACCAAGCCUUCGAUCUGGUAGCUGGGUCUGGAGAGGACACCAGCCACACUGGGACUGAGACACGGCCAGCUCCGUACGGGAGGCAGGCAGGUGGGGGAAUUUUGGACUAAGUAGGGGUACGAAACG